UGGGGAAUCUUCCGCAAUGGACGAAAGUCUGACGGAGCAACGCCGCGUGAGUGAUGACGGCCUUCGGGUUGUAAAGCUCUGUUAAUCGGGACGAAUGGUUCUUGUGCGAAUAGUGCAAGGAUUUGACGGUACCGGAAUAGAAAGCCACGGCUAACUACGUGCCAGCAGCCGCGGUAAUACGUAGGUGGCAAGCGUUGUCCGGAAUUAUUGGGCGUAAAGCGCGCGCAGUCGGAUUGGUCAGUCUGUCUUAAAAGUUCGGGGCUUAACCCCGUGAUGGGAUGGAAACUGCCAAUCUAGAGUAUCGGAGAGGAAAGUGGAAUUCCUAGUGUAGCGGUGAAAUGCGUAGAUAUUAGGAAGAACACCAGUGGCGAAGGCGACUUUCUGGACGAAAACUGACGCUGAGGCGCGAAAGCCAGGGGAGCGAACGGG
Molecule: ribosomal RNA, 429 nt
Filed under: bacterium
Lineage: Bacteria
Description: partial 16S ribosomal RNA
Rfam family: Bacterial small subunit ribosomal RNA
Source: RNAcentral